This 253-nucleotide ribosomal RNA is filed under the name uncultured bacterium. RNAcentral describes it as "partial 16S ribosomal RNA". It matches the Rfam family "Bacterial small subunit ribosomal RNA", at positions 524 to 776 of the family's 1533-position model. The record is from RNAcentral.
GACAGAGGUGCCGAGCGUUAGGCGGAAUCACUGGGCGUAAAGGGUGCGUAGGCGGGUCUUUAAGUCAGGGGUGAAAUCCUGGAGCUCAACUCCAGAACUGCCUUUGAUACUGAGGAUCUUGAGUUCGGGAGAGGUGAGUGGAACUGCGAGUGUAGAGGUGAAAUUCGUAGAUAUUCGCAAGAACACCAGUGGCGAAGGCGGCUCACUGGCCCAUUACUGACGCUGAGGCACGAAAGCGUGGGGAGCAAACAGG